This 301-nucleotide ribosomal RNA is filed under the name uncultured bacterium. RNAcentral describes it as "partial 16S ribosomal RNA". It matches the Rfam family "Bacterial small subunit ribosomal RNA", at positions 509 to 807 of the family's 1533-position model. The record is from RNAcentral.
CAGUAGCCGCGGGAAUACGGAGGGUGCAAGCGUUAUCCGGAUUUAUUGGGUUUAAAGGGUCCGUAGGCGGAUCUGUAAGUCAGUGGUGAAAUCUCACAGCUUAACUGUGAAACUGCCAUUGAUACUGCAGGUCUUGAGUAAAUUUGAAGUGGCUGGAAUAAGUAGUGUAGCGGUGAAAUGCAUAGAUAUUACUUAGAACACCAAUUGCGAAGGCAGGUCACUAAGAUUUAACUGACGCUGAUGGACGAAAGCGUGGGGAGCGAACAGGAUUAGAUACCCGGGUAGUCCCUGUCUCUUAUAC